Molecule: long non-coding RNA, 619 nt
Organism: Daphnia pulicaria
Lineage: Eukaryota; Metazoa; Arthropoda; Branchiopoda; Diplostraca; Daphniidae
Exons: 4
Source: RefSeq, a predicted model, not a curated record
GACCGGGACAAUUUUAUGCCGAAUUCAUUAGUGUCCUCUCGAAAUAAGGCCUAAACCAACACUGUAACGGAGAAAUGUUCUGCCGGCGUCCCUCUCACCUUUGGAUUAUUUCAGUGAUUAGUCUGCUGUCGGACGAGGCGCCAAAGAGGAGGUGUCUGUGUGGAAGAAAAGGAAAUCUGUGAUUGAUCCUUCUACACACACCGCAACUGCCUUUGUUCAGGAAUAAUUCUGUCGGAUUAAAGCGGCACACGACGCGGUCGUGGAAUCUCCAGAGGCUCAGAGGAAUUGGAUUUUUCUACUUUAUACGUACUUCCCCACUCAUCCACUGGGCAAAGGGUCGAGCGUGUGAGGAAUAUCCCGGCCUUUCAGGUGUCUGCGUCAACCACGUCUUCGACUUUUUGUCGUCCAGCUAAUCACGAAAGCCAAGAAGCGAACAUCGAGCGUCAGCGCCAACAGCGCCAGCAGCGGUUCGGGCUCUUCCGGCCUGGACUCUCUCAGUUACUGGACAACAUUUUACUGCCCGUCUCCAUCGUUUGAUUCCUGUUCCUCCUCUUUCGGCCGGCCAACUCGGAUCAGCGAGCCAAUGUCGUUGCUGGAAGUCCUUCACCAAUUGCCUAAU